RNAcentral lists this long non-coding RNA (323 nucleotides) under Medicago truncatula (barrel medic). Its description in RNAcentral is "long non-coding RNA (MTRU_LNC001255)". Lineage: Eukaryota; Viridiplantae; Streptophyta; Magnoliopsida; Fabales; Fabaceae. The record is from RNAcentral.
AUCUUGUUGCCAUAGCAGAACUGUUCCAUCAUAACACGAAGAGUGCUUGUCGAGACAUUGUAGCUGGAAUUCAUGCAAGGGUAUGCAGGAGUAAUUAUUGGCAUAAGGUGAUACCUGUCCCUAUGGUUUCUGCGAGGAUCCCAUAUAGGUAAAUGCAGUUCAUUCUCUUCUAUAGGGCAUAGCAUUACAGGGUUUGGCCACCGCCACUGUGAAUAGACCCUAAAGAAUCUAGAAACCAACAUGCUAGGGAUUGCAUUAGGGUAAAGCUGGCAAACUCGAGCAACUAAAAUAGCCCAAUUUACUCCUCCAAGGAAUCCAGUAAC